AGAACGAACGCUGGCGGCACGCCUAACACAUGCAAGUCGAGCGCCCAGCAAUGGGAGCGGCGGACGGGUGAGUAACACGUGGGAACAUGCCUUUCGGUACGGAACAACUGCGGGAAACUGCAGCUAAUGCCGUAUACGCCCUUACGGGGAAAGAUUUAUCGCCGAAAGAUUGGCCCGCGUCUGAUUAGCUAGUUGGUGAGGUAACGGCUCACCAAGGCUUCGAUCAGUAGCUGGUUUGAGAGAACGACCAGCCACAUUGGGACUGAGACACGGCCCAAACUCCUACGGGAGGCAGCAGUGGGGAAUCUUGGACAAUGGGGAAACCCUGAUCCAGCGAUGCCGCGUGAGUGAUGAAGGCUUCGGGUUGUAAAACUCUUUCGACGGGGACGAUAAUGACGGUACCCGUAGAAGAAGACUCCGGCUAACCUCGUGCCAGCAGCCGC
This 443-nucleotide ribosomal RNA is filed under the name uncultured bacterium. RNAcentral describes it as "SSU rRNA". It matches the Rfam family "Bacterial small subunit ribosomal RNA", at positions 26 to 518 of the family's 1533-position model. The record is from RNAcentral.